Molecule: ribosomal RNA, 274 nt
Filed under: uncultured bacterium
Lineage: Bacteria
Description: partial 16S ribosomal RNA
Rfam family: Bacterial small subunit ribosomal RNA
Source: RNAcentral
AUACGAAGGGGGCUAGCGUUGUUCGGAAUCACUGGGCGUAAAGCGCGCGUAGGUGGAUCAAUUAGUUGAGGGUGAAAUCCCGGGGCUCAACCUCGGAACUGCCUUCAAUACUGUUGAUCUUGAGACCGAGAGAGGUGAGUGGAAUUCCUAGUGUAGAGGUGAAAUUCGUAGAUAUUAGGAAGAACACCAGUGGCGAAGGUGGCUCACUGGCUCGGUACUGACGCUGAGGUGCGAAAGCGUGGGGAGCAAACAGGAUUAGAAACCCUAGUAGUCC